This 233-nucleotide ribosomal RNA is filed under the name uncultured anaerobic ammonium-oxidizing bacterium. Its description in RNAcentral is "partial 16S ribosomal RNA". It matches the Rfam family "Bacterial small subunit ribosomal RNA", at positions 439 to 663 of the family's 1533-position model. The record is from RNAcentral.
GGAGUUAAGAAAUGCAGGCAGGUUAAUACCCUGUUUGUUUGACAAAGGCCCCAAAGGAAGCUACGGCUAACUCUGUGCCAGCAGCCGCGGUAAUACAGAGGUGGCGAGCGUUGUUCGGUAUUAUUGGGCGUAAAGAGCACGCAGGUGGUUUUGUAAGUCAGAUGUGAAAGCCUUCUGUUCAAAGGAAGAACGGCAUCUGAAACUGCUGAUCUUGAGUGUAGGAGGGGAGAGUG